RNAcentral lists this ribosomal RNA (421 nucleotides) under uncultured eukaryote. RNAcentral's name for it is "SSU rRNA". It matches the Rfam family "Eukaryotic small subunit ribosomal RNA", at positions 592 to 1017 of the family's 1831-position model. The record is from RNAcentral.
CAAUAGCGUAUAUUAAAGUUGUUGCGGUUAAAAAGCUCGUAGUUGGAUUUCUGUCGAAAACGGCCGGUCCUCACUAUGUGAGUGUAUCUGGUUCGGUUUUGGCAUCCUCGUGGGAGACGGAGCUGCGCUUGAUUGCGUGGGCCGGAAUUCACGACUUUUACUUUGAGGAAAUUAGAGUGUUCACGGCAGGCAAGCGCCUUGAAUACAUUAGCAUGGAAUAAUAAUAUAGGACCUUGGUUCUAUUUUGUUGGUUUCUAGAACUGAGGUAAUGAUUAAUAGGGAUAAUUGGGGGCAUUUGUAUUAACGCGUCAGAGGUGGAAUUCUUGGAUUGCGUUACGACAAACUACUGCGAAAGCAUUUGCCAAGGAUGUUUUCAUUGAUCAAGAACGAAAGUAUGGGGAUCGAAGAUGAUUAGAUACCA